GGGGUUGUGGCUCAGUGGUAGAGCACACGCCUAGCAUGUGCGAGGCCCUGGGUUCAAUCCUCAGCACCACA
RNAcentral lists this transfer RNA (71 nucleotides) under Marmota monax (woodchuck). Its description in RNAcentral is "tRNA.Ala". It matches the Rfam family "tRNA". From Rfam's summary of the family: Transfer RNA (tRNA) molecules are approximately 80 nucleotides in length. Their secondary structure includes four short double-helical elements and three loops (D, anti-codon, and T loops). Lineage: Eukaryota; Metazoa; Chordata; Mammalia; Rodentia; Sciuridae. The record is from RNAcentral.